Canis lupus familiaris (dog) is the source of this 6350-nucleotide long non-coding RNA. RefSeq lists it as uncharacterized. The record is from RefSeq and is a predicted model, not a curated record. The transcript is spliced from 7 exons. NCBI's taxonomy places the organism in Eukaryota, Metazoa, Chordata, Mammalia, Carnivora, Canidae.
AGUAACAUUAGGAGAGGCUCUUGAGGGGAAUAAUUGCACUUAGGCAGCUGAUUGCUACAGCCUCUGGAAGUGUGGUGGCUGUUUUAUCCAAGUAGAACUGUGCUAUGAGUUAGCUAAUGGAAGGGUGUUGGAAAUCCAUGCAAACUUCAUCUUGGUCUCACCUCUACUCUACGUGGGUGAGAGAAGGGAAUGAGUCAUAAGCAUCACUUUAUGAUGCUGGCCCUGGAACUCACAGGAAGCAGUAUGAAUACUUCAGUAGCAGUCUUACCAAAGAACUAAACCGGACAGGACAGUAGAUUUUGUACAGGGUAGUAAUUCUGGAUAAAUAGCCAGAUUAUGACUUUCAGAACAGGUUCUGUCCUACAGACCUGUGUACUGAUCAACAGAGAAGAUCUCCUGGAGAAAGAACAUUUAAUUAAAUCUCUUUAAGUCAUGAAGCCACCUAUCUGUUUCUAUUUAAAGGCAUAUUGCAUCUCUUACUUCCUUUUGGCCAAAGGACAAGAGGAAAUAAAAAGGAAAGGAAGCUACCUUUCCAGCAACUACCAUCUGUAACAAAAGGAGAGAUUUUAUGGAAGAAGAUUUAAGAAGAACAUUAGGGUUCCACUAAGUAUGCUGACACAAUCAGAACAGUAACCAUACCAGUAGGAUGGUUUGGUAUCUGGCAGAUUAUUAAACUCCUUUCAGAGGAGCUGGAGUAACUGCAUGAAGCUUCUUCUCCUAUAUUGAAUGAUAGCGUCGAGACUAAGACGGCCAUGAAACAAGAAGGUGCUGGCUGUGCAGGAUGAGAGCCAUUGGAUGUUUCCUCCAUUCACCUACCCUCUUUUUUCCUUCCGUCUUCACCUCAGUUGGAGGACUAGAGAGGCUGAGCAGUAAAUUCUGAGUCCCAGUGCCAGGGAUUAUGUGAAGAGCCUUAUAGCCAUGUUCCAUGCCUAUGGAGGGAGCCAUUUGGAUAUCAAGGGGGGGCAGAAUUUUCAGCAGGACUUACCAAGAAAAAGAAACUGCACAAAAUGAAAAAAAUGGAUUUAACAUAAAAAUCCAGGUGUUAAGAUUGAGCAGCAGAGCAUGAUGCCCGAAUUCGAGAGGGAGAGAGAGACCUUUGCUUCGAACAGCCGGACCAUUCUUUGGUCCUAGAACACCUGACUCUGCAUCAGUUCCUGUGAGGAGCAGCACCACCCCAUCUAACCGGUUCCCAUAUUCAUUAUUAAUCAUUCUAAGUGUCAUCUGCUUUGCCAUAUAGCACAGCGGGGGAGCCCCUUACCUGAUCAGCGGGGGGAGCACCUUACCUGAUCAGCGGGGGGAGCACCUUACCUGAUCAGUGGGGGAAGCACCUUACCCGAUCUUGGCGAACAGAGCAAAUGUAGUCACUUCUUUCCUUCCCCCGGACCUCUGACCACCUUGCCAGGCAGAGGUGAGGGUGCAGCUGGUAAACCAAGAGCUUACGCGGACCCACAUCUCUAUUCACACAUCAGGCAGAUGGACGAGAGCUGUUAAGACUGCAGUGUAGACAAAUCAUUGCCCAGAUGCCCUUGAUCCUACAGGUCUCUUCUCCGCCACCACCUCUGUGAACUGGAGCCUGCUUUGCCAGUGGCACUACCCUGGGGAGAGGAGGGAGGAAGACACUAUUAGCAAAUGUUGCUGCUUCUUUUCUUUUGUGUGUUUCUCACAGUCCUAUUGUACACCUGACAUCUGACACAAUGAAUGCAUUAUCAAAUCAUUAGUCCCCAUCCAAUGCGAGGCACCAAAUCUGCAGUCAGUCAGUGCUGUAGAGAUCCAGAGAAGCAGUUAAGUGUUAAUGGAUUUGCUUUAGGCAUUUUACAACCUAUUGGUCCUAAUUAGACUGAGCAAGGGUUGCUAUAGACAACCUGGAAAUUUAAAUAAUGCAUUUAUUCUGAUAUAUUCUUCCUAAACAUGUCAGCAAGAAUGUAAGAAAAAAAGAGAGAGAGAGAGUAGAGAGAGAAAUCACCAAAGAGUGGAGAGAUGAAGCAAAAAUUUUACUUUUCAAAACCUAGAGCCUAAACCUCACUGAGUUAUUGUGUAUAGUUGAUGAUGUGGCUUAGCAAAUCUUAAAAUGGCAGCCUGAGUAUAACACAUUCCAGAAGCUUACACCAAGUGUCACCUAAACAAUGUGGUUGCAAAAGAAAUUUGAAUUGAUCACUAGAAACACAAAGCUAAAUUGUAGAAAAGCACAGAUUCUUCAGACGAAGAACAGGGAUGGGAUCUGAACCCAGCAUGGGUCCUAGUGGUGUUAAGCCUGAAGAAGUAAGAGCAAGAGGGGUCACUUAUUAUACGAACUUUAAUGAGCUGUCUUGCGGCAGCAACAGUGGAGGUCCUUUGAAGUACCCAGAACCCUCAGAAGACAACAUUUGGAGAGACAUACAGACAUUUGCAAUAAUCAAUAGCAACAGUGGCAAAAGCAUUAAUUAAAGCUGCUGCAGUUUUUUGCAACUCAAGGAGGUUGAGAUUUCUGAUAAUUGUAGUACAGUAAAUGGAAUAAGGAAACCAAAGCUCUUUGUCUCAUAUGCAGGCCAAUUUUCCAUGCACAAUCAAAUUUUGCUUCUUAUAUUCCCUACCAGCUGCUCUAAACCCACUGAGGAUUCGGAAGUCAUGAUACAAUAUUAGUAAGAAAAUUAGAGUGGUAGCAAAUCACAAGUUUUCGGAGCAACACAAUAGGAGGUCAGUUCAUAUUAAAUAUCCACAGCCUGUGUGCACACACUCCAUUUCCUAGGAGACUCUAAGCAAAAUACCGCCUUCAGGGAUAUACACUUAGUAGCUUUUGCAUAACAAUAACCAAGAUGCAGAUCCCAGCUAAUGAAAUUCUGAUGCUGAAGAAGGGCCCCCAAGGCUCAGAACAGAGGCCUGGAGGAAAAAAGGGAUAAACUCCUUAUUUAAAAAGUAAACAGUCAGUCUCCUUUAUUUAUUCAUUUAACAUAUAUUUAUUGCAGGCCUUCUUCCUAUCACUUUGGUUAGGCCCUGGAGCUGUCUUGGUGAGAAAAUACAGACUCUGGCCCUGACCUCAAGGAGUUUAAACCUAAAGGGAGACAGAUUUCAUGAAACAUUCACAUAAAUGUAUAUUUACAAACUGUGCAGUUGCUUUGAAGUAAAGGUACCCGGUGGUAUAAAAGCAUCUAACAGAAGACACUGACCUUGGCCAUGGAGGGUAUACAGGGAAUAUGAGGGAUGACCAGGAAUUCUAAGAGGAGAGAAAUUCAAAAGAGCUCUUGUUUCAAGGGAAAGCAUGUGCCAAGAGCCUGUGGCCUGAAGGGACACAAUGCUUUCAAGAAAUGAAGAGAGAAGGAACAUUUGGUGGGCAGAGGGCAAAGAGCAAGAUGCGAAAUGAAGUAGAGACACAUAGGCAGACACUAGACCAUGCAGGCCACAGGAACUUUUUUUACCCUGUAAAGCAAUGGGAAACCAUUGGAAUUUACAUGGACAGCUGUCAUGAGCCUUUUAAGUGAUCACUCUGGAUAAAGUGUGAAGAAUGGGAUGGAAGAAGUCAAGAAGUAGUCAAGUAGACAGUGGCUCAAGAAAGAGGAUGGCUGUUUGGACAAGGAUGAUAAUGAAGGACGUGGAGAGCCAUGAACAAUUCAUGGAAAGAUAUUUAGGAAGUGAAAUAGAAAUUAAAUUUUAAAUAUGGGUGGUAGGAAAUGAGAAGGAGGUGUUGAAGAUGAAUCCUAGACUCUGAUCUCCCUAAUAGGGUAGAUAAGGUAUAAUUUCCUUGAAUAGAGAACCCUGGAAAAAUAGCUGGUUUAUUACAAGGUCACUACAAGUUUAUUACAAAUACAUUGAGUUUGAGGAUAACUGAUGCUCAUAAGUGGCUUUUGAGCAUCAAAAAGUCCUAUUUGUGACUCUUAUUGGAUUAUUUGGGUAUGUAAGUUUGUGUGUCAUUGAUAGGACACUGGUAAUUGAAAUCAUGGGUGCGCAUGAAAUCAUCAAUAGAAAGAGCAGACAGUAAAAAAAGAAUAUGGCUAUGACUAAGUCUAGGGAAAUUGUAGUAUUUAAUAUGGUGGCUCUCAAAAUGUGAUCCCCAGAGCAGCAGUAUCGGAAUCAACAAUCAUCUAUUGGAAAUGCAAACAGACAUCCUGAAUCAAAAACUCUGGAGGUGGUGCUCAGCAACAUGCCCCAAAACACGUCUUCAGAUGUUUCUGAUGCAUGCUCAAGUUUGAAAACCACUAAUAAUGGAAGGGUGGAGGAGACCUGUCUGUAAAGAUUACUGACAUUGAGCUGCUUGCCAGUCGGUAAAAGAGAAACCAAGGGAGUCCUUAGGAAAAGGGAGGAAAAUAUUUCAAAGAGAAGACAAAAGUCAACAGAAUCAAAUGUAGUUGGGAGAUCAAGUGAAAUGGUGGUCACUUCUGACUUUAGAGAAAAUUAUUUCCAUCAAGGACUGGGAUGAAAAUAUACUGGAAGGAUCCUGAGGAAUGAGUGAGAGGGGAAAAAAGGAGAUAAGUAUAGACAACUCUUCUUUUUAAACUUUGAAUAGACUGAAUCUGGAGGAGAGAGUGGAGAUAUGUUGUAAAAUAUUAGUGUCCUGAGCAUGUUUUAAUGCUGAAUGAUAAGAUCAGCUUGAGAGAGAAUGCAGGAGACAAAUGUGGUAACUCAGCAGUGAGGGUUCUUGGGAAGGCAGAGGGUGUGGGUUGCAAAGCCCAAAUGGAAAGACUAUAUUAGAUCCGCUCUCUUGUAGCUGAAGGAUGAGUGGGGACUCUGUGUCAUACCAUUCUCCUCCUUGCUUAUUGCUUACUGUGCUCAAGCCACAUGGAUUUUUUUUUUAUUCCUGAAUAUGUAGUAAGUUCGUCCUUCUUCAAUCGUAUCUCAAAUGUCACCUCCUCAGAGAAGUUUCCCUUGACACUGUAUCUUAUGUUGUCAUCCUCUAUUACCAUCUCCGAUCACAGCCUAAUCCUUGACCCUAUCUCUUACACUUUAUGGCACUUUUCUGUCUCUGAAGGUAUCAUAGGUUUGUGCCCACUGUCAGGUAACUCCCGGGACAGACAGACUUUGCCCUGUCCAUAGGUAUAGCUCUAGGGUUUAGCACAGUACCUGGAGUGUGGCAGGCAUUCUAUAAACAUUUCUUGAAGAAAAGAAUAAGAAAAGGGGUGCAGAUGAUCUAUCUGUAUAUUCGAUAGACGUGGGUAGAAGGGUUUCUUGCUACUAGAUCUUAUUUUCUCUUCAAGUAAUGUCAGGAGACAUUGGAUGAGUGGAGGACGUUGAUUGAGGAUGUUGAUUUGCUGAAGAGUGGGAACUAGUUCCAGCUAGUCCAGAAGCUGAGAGGGUAAACCAUAUGGAUCCAGAGAGAAUUCCAGGUGGGGUUGAGAAUCAGUUUGGGGACGAUAACCAUGACGUGGAAUGGCACACAUAGCUCUGCUGAGUGACUUUCUCCAGUGAUAUUCGGAUAAAUGGAGACGACAUGGAAAAGGCAGAUGGUUGGGACAUCAGGGCUGGUGUUUUCCAGGUGGUACAGCAAAGCUCCAGAGGAGCAGGAGACUGUAGAGGAUUAGCAAGAAUGUUACUGAGAACCAUUCACUUCAGGGCCUCGCCCAGUGAAGGGGUCAUGGCAGGAAUAGUUGAGCAAGAAACACGAAAGUUUGGAAAGUUGUGACCGAAGAUCAAGAUGCCUGAAUUAGACAUGUUCGGAGUCAUGCUUCCCUGAUGACAGGAAGAAUGUGUGGUUGAGGUGAAUGUGGAAGAAGUCAUUAGAAAGGAGGUUCCGUGGAUUUAGGUUUUCACAUCCACAAUCUUUCAAGGGCCUGAAAUGUCUUACAAACCAACCAGAUAGUUCAAAUCUUAAUGUAAAAUUCUUAACUAAAAAUAAAAACAGGUGAAAACCGCCUUACUGCAGUGGUCCUAUGCUGUUUUUGCGUGGGUCUUAAAGUUGCAUCUCUAAAUUAUGAAUAAUAAAGUAAAACCUCAUUAGCUCAUCCGCUAAUUAAGAAUUAGUGAUAAUUUGGUUAGCGGGGCUGAUACUUGGUUUCAUUAGUGAAAGAGCUGUAGAGUAAGAAAUGGAUUUGUAUAUUGAUUCUGUCGCUUUUCUGAGUGUGUGUAUUGGCCUUGGGCUAGGUUCUUAAUCCUACUGAGCCUCUGCCUUUGCAAAAAGGAGGAAAAAUUAAAUGUCUCGCAGCAUUAUUGUGAGGCUUAAAUGAGAACAUGUGUGUCAAAGUGUCUAUACGUGAUAGUUCUCAUACAACUGGAAGGCCUUAUAAUCUACGGAGAAGACAUUUGCUAUGGAAACAACAUUGUAAAAACACUUCAACCAAAUGCUUAUCUUUCCCACAAUUUUUAGACCCUCUUAGAAACACUAUUUACAAAUAAUACAUAAAAUUACAAAUUUAAAGUGGACCAAAAAUAACUGCCCUGUUUGU